GAACUUUCCAGAGAUGGAUUGGUGCCUUCGGGAACUCUGAGACAGGUGCUGCAUGGCUGUCGUCAGCUCGUGUUGUGAAAUGUUGGGUUAAGUCCCGCAACGAGCGCAACCCUUAUCCUUUGUUGCCAGCGGUCCGGCCGGGAACUCAAAGGAGACUGCCAGUGAUAAACUGGAGGAAGGUGGGGAUGACGUCAAGUCAUCAUGGCCCUUACGAGUAGGGCUACGCACGUGCUACAAUGGCGCAUACAAAGAGAAGCGACCUCGCGAGAGCAAGCGGACCUCAUAAAGUGCGUCGUAGUCCGGAUUGGAGUCUGCAACUCGACUCCAUGAAGUCGGAAUCGCUAGUAAUCGUAGAUCAGAAUGCUACGGUGAAUACGUUCCCGGGCCUUGUACACACCGCCCGUCACACCAUGGGAGUGGGUUGCAAAAGAAGUAGGUAGCUUAACCUUCGGGAGGGCGCUUACCACUUUGUGAUUCAUGACUGGGGUGAAGUCGUAACAAGGUAGGCGUAGUGCU
This 516-nucleotide ribosomal RNA is filed under the name uncultured bacterium. RNAcentral's name for it is "bacterial SSU rRNA". It matches the Rfam family "Bacterial small subunit ribosomal RNA", at positions 993 to 1509 of the family's 1533-position model. The record is from RNAcentral.